This 253-nucleotide ribosomal RNA is filed under the name uncultured bacterium. RNAcentral describes it as "partial 16S ribosomal RNA". It matches the Rfam family "Bacterial small subunit ribosomal RNA", at positions 524 to 776 of the family's 1533-position model. The record is from RNAcentral.
UACAGAGGUCUCGAGCGUUAGGCGGAAUCACUGGGCUUAAAGCGUGUGUAGGCGGAUCGGUAAGUACCUUGUGAAAUCCCACAGCUUAACUGUGGAACUGCUUGGUAUACUGCCAGUCUUGAGCCAGCUAGGGGCUACCGGAACAAAUGGUGGAGCGGUGAAAUGCGUAGAGAUGUGGAGGAACACCAGUGGCGAAGGCGGCUCUUUGGUCUGUAACUGACGCUGAGGCGCGAAAGCGUGGGGAGCAAACAGG